Molecule: ribosomal RNA, 876 nt
Filed under: uncultured archaeon
Lineage: Archaea
Description: bacterial SSU rRNA
Rfam family: Archaeal small subunit ribosomal RNA
Source: RNAcentral
AAUUCGCCCUUUUCCGGUUGAUCCUGCCGGACCUGACUGCUAUCGGAUUGAUACUAAGCCAUGCGAGUCAUUGUAGCAAUACAAGGCAGACGGCUCAGUAACGCGUAGUCAAUCUACCCUAUGGACGGGGAUAACCUCGGGAAACUGAGAAUAAUACCCGACAGAACAUUAUGCCUGGAAUGGCUUAUGUUUUAAAUGAUUUAUCGCCGUAGGAUAGGACUGCGGCCUAUCAGUUUGUUGGUGAGGUAAUGGCCCACCAAGACUAUUACAGGUACGGGCUCUGAGAGGAGUGGCCCGGAGAUGGGUACUGAGACACGGACCCAGGCCCUAUGGGGCGCAGCAGGCGAGAAAACUUUGCAAUGUGCGAAAGCACGACAAGGUUAAUCCGAGUGGUUUCUGCUAAAGAAACCUUUUGUUAGUCCUAGAAACACUGACGAAUAAGGGGUGGGCAAGUUCUGGUGUCAGCCGCCGCGGUAAAACCAGCACCUCAAGUGGUCAGGAUGAUUAUUGGGYCUAAAGCAUCCGUAGCUUGCUUUGUAAGUUCUCGGUUAAAUCCAUGCGCUUAACGUAUGGGCUGCCGGUAAUACUGCAAAGCUAGGGAGUGGGAGAGGUAGACGGUACUCGGUAGGAAGGGGUAAAAUCCUUUGAUCUAUUGAUGACCACCUGUGGCGAAGGCGGUCUACCAGAACACGUCCGACGGUGAGGGAUGAAAGCUGGGGGAGCAAACCGGAUUAGAUACCCGGGUAGUCCCAGCUGUAAACUAUGCAAACUCAGUGAUGCAUUGGCUUGUGGCCAAUGCAGUGCUGCAGGGAAGCCGUUAAGUUUGCCGCCUGGGAAGUACGUACGCAAGUAUGAAACUUAAAGGAAUUGGCGGGA